Long non-coding RNA from Danio aesculapii, 755 nucleotides. RefSeq lists it as uncharacterized. The transcript has 2 exons. NCBI's taxonomy places the organism in Eukaryota, Metazoa, Chordata, Actinopteri, Cypriniformes, Danionidae. The record is from RefSeq and is a predicted model, not a curated record.
GUGUGUGUGACUGGUGUCUGACCUGUACUGGAGCAGCCUGAGCAGCAGGUCGUUCCCUCUGUUGGACAUGAUGUCUUCUGGACCCCUGCAUACAAACACAGGACAGAAAACAGUCAACAGUUUCUUCCACAGAAGAUGAACGAAGGUCUCGGGAUUGGAACAACAUAGUGGUGAUGAAUUCAUACGACCUCCAAAGACUACGUCGAAUAGUUUGGACUGCUGAGCGAGUCACUGGUACAACCCUUCCUACUCCCCAAGAACUGUACUUAUCCAGAGCGAGCAGAAGAGCUGCCAAAAUCACUCUGGACCCCUCACACCCAGCACACUGCCUCUUUGAACUUUUACCUUCUGGUCGACGCUACAGAGCACUGCGCACCAGAACAGGCCGACACAGAAACAGUUUCUUCCCUCAGGCAAUCCAUCUCAUGAACACUUGAUGAUAAUAAUUGUUGAGCCAACAUCACUACUUGCUAUACACUUUUAUACACAUAUACACUUAUUUAACAACACACUUUACAUGCCAAUUUGCACAUAACAGCUGCACAUUUAACACUGUGUAUAUAGUAAUAUAGCUGUACACACACUUGUCAAUUUGUAUAUUUCCAUUCACUACUUACUUCUAUUUUUUAAAAUAUAUUUAUUACCUGUUUUUUGUCCUGUCUCUGUAAUGCUGUUGCACUGUAGAAGCUUUGUCACCAAAAUAAAUUCCUCGUAUGUGUGAACAUACCUGGCAAUAAAGCUCUUUCUGAUUCUGA